AUGUGUGUUUGUGCGUGAUGGUGAGCGGUUUUGACAGUUCAGUUCGAUAUCGCAGAUCGAACAACCCAUUCCCAGUAUUUAUUUUAUUCAUUUUAAGUUUGUUCGGUAUCUUAGUGGUUCCUUAUGGUUAUGUUGGUUAUGGACAUGGAAGUACCUGCAUUUGUCCAACCUGUACAAAGCAAGAGGAGGAGAGAUUCCCAAAAAUGUGUGGAAGGCUCGUGAAGACGAUACAGAUGAAUGUGCGAAGGCUCACUUCCCCGAGGAGACUUCUGUCGGAGUCCUGGAUAUUCUCCUGUGUCACCGCUCUUGUGGUCAGAGCGAUCUUCUCUGCUGUAUGCUCCCAGUACAUGGAGAGACUUCGUGAGAUGUGUCUUGACGUUUUGGUGAUUAUGAUUUUAAAUGGUGAAUAUAGAGGUGUCUUCGUCAAAGGUUCCUUAUGCAGACUAUCCUGCGCAAGAAGAAGAUGGGUUCCAAAAUGUUUUCUACAAUUCUAUUUCUCAACGCUGAGUCGUUCGCUUGGAAUGGUUACACGGCGCGUGUUGGUAUCAUCUAAUUCUUCGUUACAUUGUCAAUGCUUAUUAUAACUACCUUUACUUAUCCCAAAACUGUUAUGAUGGUUUACCUCAGUAUUUAUUACCUUUGGUGUUUUUGUACCCGUGAAUGGAGUGGUCUCAAAAAUUUUCCAUUGGGCAACUCUGACAGUUAUGUUCUAUGGAAUGGGUAUACUUCCUUCUAUGAUGAUUAAUUAUUCACAAGGUAUUUUCCACUUUCACUGCUUUAAUUAUUUUAUUGGAUUAACACGUUUUAUAUUUAAACAGUGGUUAAGGUGUACACAUAGUAAUUUCUUUUCCUUUUUAGGUUUCCACUAUCUGUGCUAUUUGACAAGCAACAUUGCACUUCCUUGGUGCUAUUACAAUAUUAUUAUAAUAUUUAAUAGCAUUAUAUUUUGUAUUAGAACAAUUGAGGUUAAUCUAUCCAUUUGUUUCAGCUGGUCGUCAUACAUCAUGUUCUACGAAUAUAGCCACAUAAUUCGUGUUUGCACAUACACUUCCUUCUGCGAUGAUUAAGUGCUUGCAAGGUAACUGUCACCUUUCUUGCCUUUAAUAGCUUGAGUAAUAGUUAGAAUACACAUAAAACUUUCUCUUUUUUUUUUCUUUUAGAUUCCAAUUAUCCACAAUAUUCAACAAGCAGUAUUAUACCACAUACCAUCGUUCUUCAUCGCCUCAUAGCAUUGUUCUGGCUAUAAUCUAUUUCGAUUAUGCGCUAGUUUUAAUUUGUUCAAAUGCACUGUUUCACCUUUCACUUCGAUCUUAACGUUUUGAUUUUGCAAAAUUCCUAAUACUUUAUGCGGACCGGAAUAUUGAUCGGAGAGCUUUCCUUUGUUAGGUUCUUUUAUUUAUCGUGAAGACGAUCCAGAUGACUGUGCGAAGGCUUGCUUCCUUGAGGAGACUUCUACCGGAAUCCUGGAUAUUCUUCUGUCACUGCUUUUCUGGUCAGAGCGAUCUUCUCUGUACACUCCCAGUACAUGGAGAGACUUUGUGA
Molecule: RNA transcript, 1542 nt
Organism: Bombus pyrosoma
Lineage: Eukaryota; Metazoa; Arthropoda; Insecta; Hymenoptera; Apidae
Source: RefSeq, a predicted model, not a curated record